RNAcentral lists this ribosomal RNA (481 nucleotides) under uncultured bacterium. RNAcentral describes it as "bacterial SSU rRNA". It matches the Rfam family "Bacterial small subunit ribosomal RNA", at positions 28 to 496 of the family's 1533-position model. The record is from RNAcentral.
GACGAACGCUGGCGGCGUGCCUAAUACAUGCAAGUCGAGCGGACCAAAGGGAGCUUGCUCCUGGAGGUCAGCGGCGAACGGGUGAGUAACACGUGGGCAACCUGCCUGUAAGACUGGGAUAACAUCGAGAAAUCGGUGCUAAUACCGGAUAAUAAAAAGAACUGCAUGGUUCUUUUUUGAAAGAUGGUUUCGGCUAUCACUUACAGAUGGGCCGCGGCGCAUUAGCUAGUUGGUGAGGUAACGGCUCACCAAGGCAACGAUGCGUAGCCGACCUGAGAGGGUGAUCGGCCACACUGGGACUGAGACACGGCCCAGACUCCUACGGGAGGCAGCAGUAGGGAAUCUUCCGCAAUGGACGAAAGUCUGACGGAGCAACGCCGCGUGAGUGAUGAAGGUUUUCGGAUCGUAAAACUCUGUUGUUAGGGAAGAACAAGUGCUUCGAAAGGCGGCACCUUGACGGUACCUAACGAGAAAGCCACGG